UACAGAGGGUGCGAGCGUUAAUCGGAAUUACUGGGCGUAAAGCGCGCGUAGGCGGCUUUGCAAGUCGGGUGUGAAAUCCCCAGGCUUAACCUGGGAACUGCAUUCGAGACUGCAUUGCUAGAGUAUGGGAGAGGGAAGUGGAAUUUCCGGUGUAGCGGUGAAAUGCGUAGAUAUCGGAAGGAACAUCAGUGGCGAAAGCGGCGCACUGGACCACAACUGACGCUGAGGCGCGAAAGCUAGGGGAGCGAACGGG
RNAcentral lists this ribosomal RNA (253 nucleotides) under uncultured bacterium. Its description in RNAcentral is "partial 16S ribosomal RNA". It matches the Rfam family "Bacterial small subunit ribosomal RNA", at positions 524 to 776 of the family's 1533-position model. The record is from RNAcentral.